RNAcentral lists this ribosomal RNA (570 nucleotides) under uncultured bacterium. RNAcentral describes it as "bacterial SSU rRNA". It matches the Rfam family "Bacterial small subunit ribosomal RNA", at positions 338 to 924 of the family's 1533-position model. The record is from RNAcentral.
CCUACGGGAGGCAGCAGUGGGGAAUCUUGCGCAAUGGGCGAAAGCCUGACGCAGCAACGCCGCGUGCGGGAAGAAGGCUUUCGGGCUGUAAACCGCUUUCAGCAGGAACGAAAAUGACGGUACCUGCAGAAGAAGGAGCGGCCAACUAUGUGCCAGCAGCCGCGGUGAUACAUAGGCUUCAAGCGUUGUCCGGAUUUAUUGGGCGUAAAGAGUUCGUAGGCGGUCGAGUAAGUCGGGUGUGAAAAUUCUGGGCUCAACCCAGAGACGCCACCCGAUACUGCUUGACUUGAGUUCGAUAGGGGAGUGGGGAAUUCCUAGUGUAGCGGUGAAAUGCGCAGAUAUUAGGAGGAACACCGGUGGCGAAGGCGCCACUCUGGAUCGAUACUGACGCUGAGGAACGAAAGCAUGGGUAGCAAACAGGAUUAGAUACCCUGGUAGUCCAUGCCGUAACGGUAGGGCGACUAGGUGUGGUUUCGUUAUUAACGUAAUACGCGCCGUCGCUACGCAUAAGUGCCCGCCGUCGGGUAGGUACGGUCGCGAGACGUAAACCUACAAUAGUAAGUUGUACGG